This 306-nucleotide ribosomal RNA is filed under the name Lamproderma arcyrioides. RNAcentral describes it as "SSU rRNA". It matches the Rfam family "Eukaryotic small subunit ribosomal RNA", at positions 80 to 350 of the family's 1831-position model. The record is from RNAcentral. Lineage: Eukaryota; Evosea; Eumycetozoa; Stemonitida; Stemonitidae.
UCUGAAUCUGCGAACGGCUCCGCAAACCAGUUGUAAACUAGAGCAAGCAAGUCUGGCGGGGUUCGGCCUCCAGACGAUAUGGAUAACCCUGGUAAUUCUGAGGCUAAUACAUGACCGCAAAACCGGGCAGCCCAGCAAUGGAUGCUCGGGGAUGUGCGAUAUGGCUUGACAAUGACCGGGAAAGGACGCACACUCAGACCGCGCUAAAAAGGAUCGGGACUCUCUUCGGAGAACCUGGCCCCAGCGGCUCUUGCUGUGUGCUUCUGACCUAUCAACUAGACGGCAGCGUAAUGGACAUGCUAUGGU